Amphiprion ocellaris (clown anemonefish) is the source of this 1985-nucleotide long non-coding RNA. The record is from Ensembl. Lineage: Eukaryota; Metazoa; Chordata; Actinopteri; Pomacentridae.
AUUCCUGCUUGGCGUUAGCUCCUGGCCCGGCUAAACGGAAGUGAUGUCACCUUGGCGCUGAGAGGAAGUGCAGACGACGCAUGUAGUUUGACUGACGAACGGCGGAAAAAUAAAUAUGGAAAACGUGGAGGAGUUAAGGAGAGUGUUCAACAAGAACUUUUAGCAAUUGCUCAGUAUGUGGAAGAAAAUGUUCAGCCGGACUACAUUCUGAGGAUGGUAGAAGAUGUCAGCAAAAGUCAUGGGCAAAUAUCUGCUCUGACCGAUACAGACAUUGAUCCGGUUGUGUGGCACACUCUUGAAGAGGUACGCAUGCAACUAAGUCUUGCAGCCAGGCCAUCAGACCUGGGCGACGUCCACUGGAAGUCCAGGUGGACAUAAUGGAGUCCUACAUUCUUGCAGGAUUAUCAGCUGUCAAAAUAGCUGAACUGUUUGGAGUGUCAGUUAGAACCAUAAGAAGGAGAAUGGCAUCCCAUGGCUUGAGGUUGUCAGAUUUGUAUACUCCACUGACUGAUGACGAAUUUGAUAGCAUUGUAAUGGAGAUUCACAGACAGAGCAGAGCAGGGAUUAGGAUGAUCCAUGGUUUUCUGAAAUCACAGAGUGUGCAUAUGCAGAAUGCCGAAUCGUGAUCCAUGCAGGAGUGGAUGGAUUUAGCAGGCUCAUAGUUUAUAUAGGAGCAGCUACAAACAACAAAUCCACCACUGUUCUGGACAGUUUCAGGUCAGCUGUUGCUCAGUAUGGCUUACCAUCUCGUGUAAGAUCUGAUAAGGUAAAGUGAAAUAUUGCAUUGACAAAAAUAAAACGUCCUGCAUUGAGACAACAAAAGUACUAAAGAACAGAACUUUUGAAAAACAGUAUUCCUUUUUUUCUUUUUGCCUAUUUAUAUAUUAAUUUCCUGAAGGGUGGGGAAAAUGUUGCUGUGGCCCAUUACAUGGUGAGUCAGAGAGGAACAGGCCGACAUUCCCACAUCACUGGACGCAGUGUACAUAAUCAAAGAUGAUACAUGGUUGUGUAACAAAUUAGGAUCAUGAAUAUCAGAUAUAUUUUUAAAAUACUGAAAAGGAAAUUCCUGUUAUAUACAUGCAAUUGCAAAUUUGGACUAAUUGUUUUUGUGUUUUUUUUAAUCUACAGAAUUGAAAGAUUAUGGAGAGACGUGUAUGGAAAUGUCCUCGACUUGUUCCAUACACUAUUUCUCAAUUUGGAAUUGGAAGGGUUUCUAAACCCUGACAAUGAACUGGAGUUAUUCGCUCUCCACUGGAUCUACGUCCCACAGCUGCAGCAGCAUCUUCAGGCAUUCAAGGAAGCCUGGAAUCACCAUAGUUUGAGGACAGAGAGAGGGCAAUCCCCCAUGCAACUGUGGCUUAGUCAGCCACGGGAGGGAAAUGCUGCUGAUCCAGUUGAGGUUGCUGCUGAUUAUGGAAUAGACUGGACAGGACCUCACACCCCAUACCCAGAGGGUGUCACUGUACCUGAUGCACAACUACCCCAGCAGCUUACCCAAGCUGAAGUUACGUCAUUGUCUGAUCCGGCAGUCCCUUUUUCUGCUGCACUACGGGCGUACAUGGAUACAGUGUAUAUUCUUAAGGACAUUUUUCAACAAACCUAGGCCUAUCACAACUCACCUUAACAUGAUCAGAAUGAAACCGUUUGAAAUGGUCGAACAAGACUUGAAAGAAUGCUGCAAAUUUUUGGUGCAUAAUUUUAUGACCAGUUGUGAAUUUCAAAUAAAUGCCUGUGAAAACAAAAAUGUAAAAAAACAAGACACAACAAAGGGAUACAAAACUGCUUUUAUUGCAUGCUGAAUAAUUUGACAGCUUUUAAAAGCAUUAAAACAAUGUGCAAAUAAAAAUUUUUUUUAAUAGAACUGAUAAUUCUUUUCUUUAACUUCCACACAUUUAUAUUACAACUGUUUCCCAAACACAGUCUUCUCCAAGUGUGGAAACAUUUUGUUGUCACAGUUCAGAAAUGCACAAACCUGAACCAUAGUU